UCGACGCGUUCACAAGGACAGGAAGGGGGUUCUCCCACUUGAACCCCCUAAACUCACAAUUUGAUUCAUAUCAAAGGAGAAUCAAGAUAAGAAAUUGGGGCUUUAACUAAAAUCGUGAUCACCUAAGUUGGGAGAUCACAAGGAGCAAACCCUAGUUGAAAGUUUGAUGAUUCGGCAAGGUGGUUAAAUCUUCAAGCGGUA
Molecule: long non-coding RNA, 201 nt
Filed under: Helianthus annuus (common sunflower)
Lineage: Eukaryota; Viridiplantae; Streptophyta; Magnoliopsida; Asterales; Asteraceae
Description: sRNA HanXRQr2_Chr13g0572501
Source: RNAcentral